Molecule: ribosomal RNA, 915 nt
Filed under: uncultured Armatimonadota bacterium
Lineage: Bacteria; Bacillati; Armatimonadota
Description: bacterial SSU rRNA
Rfam family: Bacterial small subunit ribosomal RNA
Source: RNAcentral
AGAGUUUGAUCCUGGCUCAGGACGAACGCUGGCAGCGUGCCUAAUGAAUGCGAGUCGUGCGAGAACCAGACGAAAGAUUCCUUCGGGAUGAUUUGGUCUGGGGAGAGCGGCAAACAGGUGAGUAACACGUGGGUAACCUGCCCUUCAGACGGGGAUAACCUGCCGAAAGGCGGACUAAUACCCGAUGGUGAGAUACCGACAUAAGUUGGUUUCUCUAAAGGCUCCGGCGCUGAAGGAUGGGCCCGCGGCCGAUUAGCUAGUUGGUGAGAUAACAGCUCACCAAGGCAACAAUCGGUAGCCGGUCUGAGAGGAUGGUCGGCCACACUGGGACUGAGACAUGGUCCAGACUCCUACGGGAGUUAGCAUCAGGGAAUCUUGCACAAUGGGCGAAAGCCUGAUGCAGCGACGCUGCGUGGGUGAUGAAGGCCUGCGGGUCGUAAAACCCUGUCAGGAGGGAAGAAAACUGCUUUGGCAGUCUGACAGUACCUCCUAAGAAAGCCCCGGCUAAUUACGUGCCAGCAGCCGCGGUAAAACGUAAGGGGCGAGCGUUGUCCGGAAUUACUGGGCGUAUAGAGCACGUAGGCGGCUGGGUAAGCGAUAGGUGAAAUCCCAUGGCUCAACCAUGGAAUGGCUUGUUGAACUGCUCAGCUCGAGCACGGGAGAGGGUAGUGGAAUUCCUGGUGUAGCGGUGGAACGCGUAUAUAUCAGGAGGAACACCGGUGGCGAAGGCUGCUACCUGGAACGUUGCUGACGCUGAGGUGCGAGAGCUAGGGGAGCAAACAGGAUUAGAUACCCUGGUAGCCCUAGCUGUAAAUGAUGGACACUAGGUGUUGGGGGUUCGACCCCCUCAGUGCUGUUAAGCUAACGCGUUAAGUGUCCCGCCUGGGGAGUACGGUCGCAAGGCUGAAACUCAAA